Molecule: transfer RNA, 72 nt
Filed under: Camelus bactrianus (Bactrian camel)
Lineage: Eukaryota; Metazoa; Chordata; Mammalia; Artiodactyla; Camelidae
Also listed under: 3 other names
Rfam family: tRNA
About the family: Transfer RNA (tRNA) molecules are approximately 80 nucleotides in length. Their secondary structure includes four short double-helical elements and three loops (D, anti-codon, and T loops). Further hydrogen bonds mediate the characteristic L-shaped molecular structure. tRNAs have two regions of fundamental functional importance: the anti-codon, which is responsible for specific mRNA codon recognition, and the 3' end, to which the tRNAs corresponding amino acid is attached (by aminoacyl-tRNA synthetases). tRNAs cope with the degeneracy of the genetic code in two manners: having more than one tRNA (with a specific anti-codon) for a particular amino acid; and 'wobble' base-pairing, i.e. permitting non-standard base-pairing at the 3rd anti-codon position.
Source: Rfam by way of RNAcentral
GGUGGUACAGCUCAGUGGUAAAGCACAUGCUUAGCAUGCACAAGGUCCUGGGUUCAAUCUCCAGUAUCUCCA